UACGUAGGGUGCAAGCGUUGUCCGGAAUUAUUGGGCGUAAAGAGCUCGUAGGCGGUCUGUUGCGUCGGCUGUGAAAACCCGAGGCUCAACCUCGGGCCUGCAGCCGAUACGGGCAGACUAGAGUUCGGCAGGGGAGACUGGAAUUCCUGGUGUAGCGGUGAAAUGCGCAGAUAUCAGGAGGAACACCGGUGGCGAAGGCGGGUCUCUGGGCAAUUCCUGACGCUGAGGCGCGAAAGCGUGGGGAGCAAACGGG
Molecule: ribosomal RNA, 253 nt
Filed under: uncultured bacterium
Lineage: Bacteria
Description: partial 16S ribosomal RNA
Rfam family: Bacterial small subunit ribosomal RNA
Source: RNAcentral